This 22-nucleotide non-coding RNA is filed under the name Arabidopsis thaliana (thale cress). Lineage: Eukaryota; Viridiplantae; Streptophyta; Magnoliopsida; Brassicales; Brassicaceae. The record is from RNAcentral.
CCGGUGCUUAGGUAUCUCCACC